Molecule: long non-coding RNA, 647 nt
Organism: Choloepus didactylus (southern two-toed sloth)
Lineage: Eukaryota; Metazoa; Chordata; Mammalia; Pilosa; Megalonychidae
Exons: 3
Source: RefSeq, a predicted model, not a curated record
UUACCAGGAGGCAGUUGUGUUUUAUUCCAAGCUAGUUUAUAUCAGUUGUGUUAGAGCAAUUAUUAUAAUACAAAAUUUAAUUAAAUAGUUCAUAAACUUUGCAACAGUAGUCUAAAAGAAAUAGAUGUGUUCCUAUGAAAACAAAGUUGUAUGCUUUGAAAAGAUUCAAGAAAGGGUGACCAAAACUUGAAAAUUGUGGAGAGUGAUGGAUUAUGAGUGUGCCCAGAACCAACAAACACACCAAGUCCCUCCCUUCAAAUGAAUCGCUUGAAUGCAAAAUCAACUGUAAUUCAAGAAACCAAAAACAUUAAGAUGGGUGAGCUUUGCCAGACUGGACCAACUCGUUCUACCUGUUAUGGACAAAGAAAGGUCUGAAGAGGUCCCAAGGUACGGGGAGUUGUACCUGUUAUAAGGAGCAUUCUGUGUCUCCCCCUGCUGGUUGGUUGGAAUAACCAAAUGGAACAACCUCCAGAAGUUCUGACUGGUCAAGAUCAUCACGGCUUUGUACGGUCUGGCUGCCUGGCCUCUAUGAACUUUUAAUAAGAAAGGCUUUUCAAGAGUUCACAUCAGGAUAUUGUAUCCCAUCUCCAGCUUUCCAACUCUGUUUAAUUAGCAUUCUGCUUUUCUUAACAAUUUCAACUUCACAU